UACUCUCCUUCAAAUUUAGAGUAAUCUUGACUGAGGAAAGAAGUGUAUAGCACAGCUGCUACUGCAACCUCCAGUGGGUCUUGGAAUAGUCAGAGUCAUCCUUGGGAUAUAAUGGCGUGUCAUGGCUACUGUGUUCCUUCAUUCUCCCCCGACUCCUCUCCCAUCAGACUUCUCCAGAGUUAAUUAAAGCCUGAUCAGGAGGCCAGAUAAAAAAGAUGAAAAAUUCAAGAGGGUUGAUGUUGCCUGAAAAAAAAGGUGCUGAAUACCCUUCACCAUGGGAACCAUCCAGAAGACAAAAAUGUACACAGAUUUCUAAAACGGCCUUCCAAACCUUCAAUGGCAUUGAAGUUGAAUUUUGUAGCUUUUCUUCCUUCUGCAUAUGUAUAAACUGAGAAUAGAAACCAUCCCCUGUAAGGAGGUUUCUAUACAUAUAUCAAAGGAUUUUGAUGACAUUAUAAUAACCAAUAGAGUGAAGCUGGGGCAGUUUGUGAUGAUUUUGGAUUCUCAAGACAUUUACCUUCUGUUAUAAAAUAUUAAUGAAACAGCUGACAAGCCAACAAAAUUCUAAAGGAGCUCAUCUCACAGGAGAGAAAUUUGUUGACAUUGAUUUGGACUGUGAAGUGGGUUUUAUGAACUCCCAGAUAUGUACGUGCCUAUUAUUACCUUUGUGUUA
RNAcentral lists this long non-coding RNA (673 nucleotides) under Bos taurus (domestic cattle). Its description in RNAcentral is "long non-coding RNA NONBTAT014945". The record is from RNAcentral. Lineage: Eukaryota; Metazoa; Chordata; Mammalia; Artiodactyla; Bovidae.